RNAcentral lists this ribosomal RNA (648 nucleotides) under Triticum aestivum (bread wheat). RNAcentral's name for it is "partial small subunit ribosomal RNA". Lineage: Eukaryota; Viridiplantae; Streptophyta; Magnoliopsida; Poales; Poaceae. The record is from RNAcentral.
AUGGACUCCGCCCGGAGCUGGCUCCAGAAGCUGCAGAAGGACAAGGCCAGGCCGGGCGCGUCGCCCCUCGGCGCCGGGAUGGCCGGGGACGACGAGGACGAGCCGGUGCUGUCCAGCGCCACCAAGCAGAAGGUUGAGGCCGCCAAGCAGUGCAUCGAGAACCACUACAAGGCGCAGAUGAGGUCGCUCCAGGAGCGCAAGGAGAGGCGUUGGAUGCUGGAGAAGAAGCUUGCUGAUGCUGAUGUGAGACUUUGUAGAGAAAAAGCUACAUCCAAUGUAUAUGCAAUGAAAAAGCUCAAGAAGUCUGAAAUGUUACGAAGAGGCCAGGUUGAGCAUGUGAGAGCUGAAAGGAACCUCCUUGCAGAAGUUGAUAGUGCUUAUAUAGUUAUGCUCUACUGCUCAUUCCAAGAUGACGAGUUUCUUUACCUCGUUAUGGAGUACCUUCCUGGUGGUGACAUGAUGACUCUGCUCAUGCGCAAGGAUACACUUACAGAGGACGAGUCUUCAUUUUAUGUUGCAGAGACAAUACUAGCAAUUGAAUCCAUUCACAAGCAUAACUAUAUUCAUAGGGACAUCAAGCCUGACAAUUUCAGUAACAGUCGACACCGAUCUCUCACGGCCAUUCCAGAGAAAUGUGGCCAAGGGUAA